GCUGGUGUAGCUCAGUGGGUAGAGCGUCAGUGGAAAACUGAAGGGUCCCAGGUUCGAUUCCAGUCAAGGGCA
This 72-nucleotide transfer RNA is filed under the name Myotis lucifugus (little brown bat). It matches the Rfam family "tRNA". From Rfam's summary of the family: Transfer RNA (tRNA) molecules are approximately 80 nucleotides in length. Their secondary structure includes four short double-helical elements and three loops (D, anti-codon, and T loops). The record is from Rfam by way of RNAcentral. Lineage: Eukaryota; Metazoa; Chordata; Mammalia; Chiroptera; Vespertilionidae.